This 88-nucleotide transfer RNA is filed under the name Felis catus (domestic cat). It matches the Rfam family "tRNA". From Rfam's summary of the family: Transfer RNA (tRNA) molecules are approximately 80 nucleotides in length. Their secondary structure includes four short double-helical elements and three loops (D, anti-codon, and T loops). The record is from Rfam by way of RNAcentral. Lineage: Eukaryota; Metazoa; Chordata; Mammalia; Carnivora; Felidae.
GCCUGGGUGGCUCAGUUGGUUCAGCAUCUGACUGUGACUUAGAGGGUCAUGAUCUCCUGGUUUGUGGGUUUGAGCCCCACAUUGGGCC